UCCCCUGCAAUAGAAGGUUCUACCCAAGUGUUAGGAGCGUUUCGAGUUUUCUUCCUCUUUGUGUCAUCUUUAGUUCCAGGUCGAGUUUCCUUUUCUUUUUUUUAGGGUUUUUUUUUUUGAUUCUCAUUUUCAAUGGCAAGUAAAAAAGCUUCAUCCUCUCGAGAUAGUCAGUCAAAGAAUCCGACCGACGAUUCUCCUUCAGG
RNAcentral lists this long non-coding RNA (203 nucleotides) under Elaeis guineensis (African oil palm). Its description in RNAcentral is "long non-coding RNA (EGUI_LNC050707)". The record is from RNAcentral. Lineage: Eukaryota; Viridiplantae; Streptophyta; Magnoliopsida; Arecales; Arecaceae.